AGAGUUUGAUCCUGGCUCAGGAUGAACGCUGGCGGCGUGCCUAAUACAUGCAAGUCGAGCGAACCACUUCGGUGGGAAGCGGCGAACGGGUGAGUAACACGUAGGUGAUCUGCCCAUCAGACGGGGACAACGAUUGGAAACGAUCGCUAAUACCGGAUAGGACGAAAGUUUAAAGAUGCUCCUGGCAUCACUGAUGGAUGAGCCUGCGGCGCAUUAGCUAGUUGGUGGGGUAAAGGCCUACCAAGGCGACGAUGCGUAGCCGACCUGAGAGGGUGAACGGCCACACUGGGACUGAGACACGGCCCAGACUCCUACGGGAGGCAGCAGUAGGGAAUCUUCGGCAAUGGGCGAAAGCCUGACCGAGCAACGCCGCGUGAAUGAAGAAGGCCUUCGGGUUGUAAAAUUCUGUUAUAAGGGAAGAAAGGUGAUAGGAGGAAAUGACUAUCAAUUGACGGUACCUUAUGAGAAAGCCACGGCUAGCUACGUG
This 487-nucleotide ribosomal RNA is filed under the name uncultured Turicibacter sp. Its description in RNAcentral is "bacterial SSU rRNA". It matches the Rfam family "Bacterial small subunit ribosomal RNA", at positions 8 to 507 of the family's 1533-position model. The record is from RNAcentral. Lineage: Bacteria; Bacillati; Bacillota; Erysipelotrichia; Erysipelotrichales; Turicibacteraceae.